UACGGAGGGUGCGAGCGUUAAUCGGAAUUACUGGGCGUAAAGCGCGCGUAUGCGGCUGGGUAAGUCGGAUGUGAAAGCCCCGAGCUUAACUUGGGAACUGCAUUCGAUACUGCCCGACUAGAGUAUGGUAGAGGAAAGCGGAAUUCCCGGUGUAGCGGUGAAAUGCGUAGAUAUCGGGAGGAACAUCAGUGGCGAAGGCGGCUUUCUGGACCAAUACUGACGCUGAGGCGCGAAAGCGUGGGUAGCAAACAGG
This 253-nucleotide ribosomal RNA is filed under the name uncultured bacterium. RNAcentral's name for it is "partial 16S ribosomal RNA". It matches the Rfam family "Bacterial small subunit ribosomal RNA", at positions 524 to 776 of the family's 1533-position model. The record is from RNAcentral.